UACGGAGGGGGCAAGCGUUACUCGGAAUUACUGGGCGUAAAGCGUGCGCAGGCGGUGAUGUAAGACAGAUGUGAAAUCCCCGGGCUCAACCUGGGACCUGCAUUUGUGACUGCAUCGCUAGAGUACGGUAGAGGGGGAUGGAAUUCCGCGUGUAGCAGUGAAAUGCGUAGAUAUGCGGAGGAACACCGAUGGCGAAGGCAAUCCCCUGGACCUGUACUGACGCUCAUGCACGAAAGCGUGGGGAGCAAACAGG
Molecule: ribosomal RNA, 253 nt
Filed under: uncultured bacterium
Lineage: Bacteria
Description: partial 16S ribosomal RNA
Rfam family: Bacterial small subunit ribosomal RNA
Source: RNAcentral